UACGUAGGGUGCAAGCGUUAAUCGGAAUUACUGGGCGUAAAGCGUGCGCAGGCGGUCUUGCAAGACAGAUGUGAAAUCCCCGGGCUCAACCUGGGAACUGCAUUUGUGACUGCAAGGCUGGAGUACGGUAGAGGGGGAUGGAAUUCCGCGUGUAGCAGUGAAAUGCGUAGAUACUGGGAGGAACACCGGUGGCGAAGGCGGCUACCUGGACCGGUUCUGACGCUGAUGCGCGAAAGCGUGGGUAGCAAACAGG
This 253-nucleotide ribosomal RNA is filed under the name uncultured bacterium. RNAcentral describes it as "partial 16S ribosomal RNA". It matches the Rfam family "Bacterial small subunit ribosomal RNA", at positions 524 to 776 of the family's 1533-position model. The record is from RNAcentral.